AGUCGACGAUUAAAGCUCCCUUCGGGGAGUGCAUAAAGUGGCGCACGGGUGAGUAACACGUAAGUAAUCUACCCUCGGGUGGGGAAUAACAUCGGGAAACCGAUGCUAAUACCGCAUAAUGCAGCGGCACCGCAAGGUGACAGUUGUUAAAGAUUUAUUGCCUGGGGAGGAGCUUGCGGCAGAUUAGCUUGUUGGUAAGGUAACGGCUUACCAAGGCGACGAUCUGUAUCCGGUCUAAGAGGACGGUCGGACACACUGACACUGAAUAACGGGUCAGACUCCUACGGGAGGCAGCAGUCGGGAAUUUUGGGCAAUGGGGGAAACCCUGACCCAGCAACGCCGCGUGAAGGAUGAAGUAUUUCGGUAUGUAAACUUCGAAAGAAUAGGAAGAAUUAAUGACGGUACUACUUAUAAGGUCCGGCUAACUACGUGCCAGCAGCCGCGGUAAUACGUAGGGACCAAGCGUUGUUCGGAUUUACUGGGCGUAAAGGGCGCGUAGGCGGCGCGGUAAGUCACUUGUGAAAUCUCUGAGCUUAACUCAGAACGGCCAAGUGAUACUGCAGUGCUAGAGUGUGGAAGGGGCAAUCGGAAUUCUUGGUGUAGCGGUGAAAUGCGUAAAUUUCAGAGGAACACCUGAGGUGAAAACGGGUUGCUGGGCCAACACUGACGCUGAGGCGCGAAAGCCAGGGGAGCAAACGGGGAUUAAAUACCCCGGUAGUCCUGGCCCUAA
This 730-nucleotide ribosomal RNA is filed under the name uncultured Bacillota bacterium. RNAcentral's name for it is "bacterial SSU rRNA". It matches the Rfam family "Bacterial small subunit ribosomal RNA", at positions 60 to 805 of the family's 1533-position model. Lineage: Bacteria; Bacillati; Bacillota. The record is from RNAcentral.